This 84-nucleotide transfer RNA is filed under the name Heliconius melpomene (postman butterfly). RNAcentral describes it as "tRNA HMEL008806". It matches the Rfam family "tRNA". Rfam says of the family: Transfer RNA (tRNA) molecules are approximately 80 nucleotides in length. Their secondary structure includes four short double-helical elements and three loops (D, anti-codon, and T loops). The record is from RNAcentral. Lineage: Eukaryota; Metazoa; Arthropoda; Insecta; Lepidoptera; Nymphalidae.
GCAGUCGUGCCUGAGCGGUUAAGGCGUCUGAUUAGAAAUCAGUUUCCCUUCUGGGGAGCGUAGGUUGGAAUCCUGCCGACUGCG